GGGGUCGUAGUUCAGCCCGGUUAGAACGCCGGCCUGUCACGUCGGAAGUCGUGGGUUCAAAUCCCAUCGGCCCCGCCA
Molecule: transfer RNA, 78 nt
Filed under: bacterium
Lineage: Bacteria
Also listed under: 11 other names
Description: tRNA-Asp
Rfam family: tRNA
About the family: Transfer RNA (tRNA) molecules are approximately 80 nucleotides in length. Their secondary structure includes four short double-helical elements and three loops (D, anti-codon, and T loops).
Source: RNAcentral